AACGAACGCUGGCGGCAGGCCUAAAACAUGCAAGUCGAGCGGGCAUAGCAANAUGUCAGCGGCGGACGGGUGAAUAACACGUGGGAACAUGCCCUUUGGUACGGAACAACUCAGGGAAACUUGAGCUAAUACCGUAUGUGCCGGUAACGGGAAAGAUUUAUCGCCAAAGGAUUGGCCCGCGUCCGAUUAGCUAGUUGGUGAGGUAACGGCUCACCAAGGCGACGAUCGGUAGCUGGUUUGAGAGAACGAUCAGCCACACUGGGACUGAGACACGGCCCAGACUCCUACGGGAGGCAGCAGUUGGGAAUCUUGGACAAUGGGGGAAACCCUGAUCCAGCCAUGCCGCGUGAGCGAUGAAGGCCUUCGGUU
RNAcentral lists this ribosomal RNA (369 nucleotides) under uncultured bacterium. RNAcentral's name for it is "bacterial SSU rRNA". It matches the Rfam family "Bacterial small subunit ribosomal RNA", at positions 29 to 423 of the family's 1533-position model. The record is from RNAcentral.